UACAGAGGUCUCAAGCGUUGUUCGGAUUCAUUGGGCGUAAAGGGUGCGUAGGUGGGUUGGUAAGUCAGUGGUGAAAUCCCCGAGCUUAACUUGGGAACUGCCAUUGAUACUAUCAGUCUUGAAUACCGUGGAGGUCAGUGGAAUAUGUCAUGUAGCGGUGAAAUGCUUAGAUAUGACAUAGAACACCAAUUGCGAAGGCAGCUGGCUACACGAAUAUUGACACUGAGGCACGAAAGCGUGGGGAUCAAACAGG
RNAcentral lists this ribosomal RNA (253 nucleotides) under uncultured bacterium. Its description in RNAcentral is "partial 16S ribosomal RNA". It matches the Rfam family "Bacterial small subunit ribosomal RNA", at positions 524 to 776 of the family's 1533-position model. The record is from RNAcentral.